Molecule: unclassified non-coding RNA, 642 nt
Filed under: Hevea brasiliensis (rubber tree)
Lineage: Eukaryota; Viridiplantae; Streptophyta; Magnoliopsida; Malpighiales; Euphorbiaceae
Source: RNAcentral
AGGAUGAGUAUGAUGAACUUGCCUGUGAGUAUAUGUUCCUUCUUUUACCCCUUGUUGUUAAUGCAAAGAUGUGUAGUCAGUUAAGCUUAUCGAUGAAAAAAAUCAUUCUGAGGUUUAAGACCCUCUAGUUUUAGCGACUUGCAAUCAAAGCUUUCAUUUUUGGCUCUCUUGACGUAAAGUCUCUUGAUGUAAAGUUUCUGACAUUCUGUGAGGACCAGGCUCAGACUAGCUUGGCACUUAUAACAGCCUGUUAGAAUGCAAAGUUGAUGUUUUAACUUAGAAGUAAAGGAAAAUUUUUUGAUACCUCUGUUUCCUGGGAAAUUGUGGUGGCAACUGUCUGGACUGUAAUGUGAAAGUUCUUUUUAGAAAAAAAAAAUGGUUUCAACAGAUUUAAUUCGGAAAUUCAGUUUAGUUUUUUCAAUAAUUUAGCUUGGUUCGAUUUUUUAUUUUAACAAAUUUAAUUUAUUUAAUUGAAUAUUUUGAGAAAAUAAUUGAUAAAACUGAAUCUAAUAGUUUAGUUUUUUUAAUUAAUUACUUUUAUGGAAAUUAAAUUUAAAAUGAGUCCACAAUAAAUUCAAUAUGAGGCUCAAACUGAAAAAUCAAACUAAAAUAAAUUGAACUAAAUUGAUUUGGCUUGAUUUA